UCAGUGCAUUCUAUCUUGAGUUUGGCAGCAGCUCCAACCCACUCAAAAGCAUCAAAUUUAGCAAGAAAUGAACUUUGUCUCAGGAGACAACUAAAAGAACAUAUUUCAGUUCCUUAUGGAGGUUCUCAGAGUGACAGGAAUUGGCUGAUUUGAUCUUGGCUCAGAAAGUAGGUGAACCUGGACUUUACUAGCAUUUGGUUGGGAGACUACCACAGGAUAUCAGGGUUGUUUGUAUCUGAAUGAAACAACAUUAAACUAUUUGCAGAUUGUUGUCAAGGGAACUAUGUGGACACAAUCAUCAAGUCACAAGGAGUUGCAGCAAGUUUUACUUUCACAGUAAUAAUGGAAGUAUAUGCUAAAAGCCCACCCCGCCUCAAAUCUUCAAGACAUAAAUUAAACAAGCAACAAAAUGAACUUAUGAGAUGACCUUUUUAAAAAAAAAAUGGAGAGAAAAAGACUCCAAAGCUCUGUAAAACAAUACUUUCAAUGUCAUAUUGCUGUUAUUGUUAUUAUUUGUAAAGAACUUGUGUCUUCAAAAAGUAAAUUACUUUUCAUUUAAAAAUGAACAAAGUUUAGGACCUGAUGGGAUCUCUGCGAUAUAUUACAAGAUCUCUCAAUAAUUUUGAUUAAAUCGCUACCCCUGGUGAUGAAUGAAAUUCAACAACAAUCAGGGACUUCCCAUCAUGGAAAGAAGCUUUUAUUUCUGUGAUUUACAAGGAAGAAAACAAUCCAAUUUAUCAAAGUGAUAGAGCUUAUUUUCUUAUUGAAUGUGCAUCACAAACUUUUUAUAACAACUUGCAAAGAGAACAAGUGAUUUUCUAGCUGAAUUAAUACAUCCUGACAAGAUUUGAUUUGUCCCAAAGAGAUACAUGAGAAAAAAAUCAUGUAUGUUGUGAAUGUUGUGAUAAUAUAAAUUAGAACAAGAGAAAUGGACAUUUGUUAAUGCAGAGAAAGCUUUUGAUUAUUUUGAAUGGUCUUCCAUACUUAAAUCUCUGAAGAAGAUAAUUUUUUUACAUGAAUACAGAGUAUUUAUAAAGAAUAAGAAGGUCUUAAUAUAUUGAUGAUUUUUAAUCACAAAAAACUACCCCAAUGAAAGGAAUAUUCUGCCUCAUUCCUGCCUCAUUCAUUAUUCAUAGUGGCAUUGCAAAGAAGAUAUACCAAGAAAUGAAUUUUCAGGAAUUAAAUGCUGCUCA
Molecule: long non-coding RNA, 1193 nt
Organism: Thamnophis elegans (Western terrestrial garter snake)
Lineage: Eukaryota; Metazoa; Chordata; Lepidosauria; Squamata; Natricidae
Exons: 3
Source: RefSeq, a predicted model, not a curated record